UGCUCCUGGCAAUGGACAAAGAGACAGCACCUUCUUGGUGGUGGUGAUCUUAUACCAGUCAAGGGCAGAGCAGCCGGCAGUCCUCUGUUCCUCUUAGCUUGAUGCCUGGCUUUGUGGCCAAAGCUUAUGCCUAGGACUCAUAA
This is a small nucleolar RNA of Acomys russatus (golden spiny mouse), 143 nucleotides long. RefSeq annotates it as small nucleolar RNA SNORA48. The transcript has a single exon. The record is from RefSeq and is a predicted model, not a curated record. NCBI's taxonomy places the organism in Eukaryota, Metazoa, Chordata, Mammalia, Rodentia, Muridae.